GACGAACGCUGGCGGCGUGCUUAACACAUGCAAGUCGAACGGAAAGGCCCUGCUUUUGUGGGGUGCUCGAGUGGCGAACGGGUGAGUAACACGUGAGUAACCUGCCCUUGACUUUGGGAUAACUUCAGGAAACUGGGGCUAAUACCGGAUAGGAGCUCCUGCUGCAUGGUGGGGGUUGGAAAGUUUCGGCGGUUGGGGAUGGACUCGCGGCUUAUCAGCUUGUUGGUGGGGUAGUGGCUUACCAAGGCUUUGACGGGUAGCCGGCCUGAGAGGGUGACCGGCCACAUUGGAACUGAGAUACGGCCCAGGCUCCUACGGGAGGCAGCAGUGGGGAAUAUUGCACAAUGGGCGGAAGCCUGAUGCAGCAACGCCGCGUGCGGGAUGACGGCCUUCGGGUUGUAAACCGCUUUCGCCUGUGACGAAGCGUGAGUGACGGUAAUGGGUAAAGAAGCACCGGCUAACUACGUG
Molecule: ribosomal RNA, 468 nt
Filed under: uncultured bacterium
Lineage: Bacteria
Description: partial 16S ribosomal RNA
Rfam family: Bacterial small subunit ribosomal RNA
Source: RNAcentral